AUCUUAAGUUUUCAGUUUCGACCCCGUUUGGUCACUGAAAACUGUACCGAACUGUAAUCUUUAUCAGAUAACUGUCGGAUUUUAUUUCUCACUCUACGGGUGUUAGAAAAAUAUGAAACUUUAAAUCUAGCCUCAUAAAAAUAUUUCUGACUGAUCCUGCAAUUUUCAUAAUUUUCUGAGACUGUGCAUUUUCUGCUAAUUUAUCUGUCCCGUUUUCAACAGAAAAUUCUAGAUCUUUUGUUUUCAUUCCGAUUUCAGCACAAGUCACUUCUGACUUAUAUUUUACUCCUCUAAAUUCAAUAAAAAUAGUAUCUCAUACUAUUUUUAUUUAUUUUUAUUUUUAUAUUUAAAAUUCGGUAUAUUACAUUCCACCGCAACCUCACCGGAACCAUUCAAAUGGCUUUCAAACCAAAUGUACACUGUAACUUCAUAAUUUUAGAAGUCCGGUACCUUACACCUAUUCACUUGGUAGGCGGUACUACUAUCACACAUGCAUGCUGGGGGAUUAAUCUACCCACAUCUCUGUCUUAACUAUACUUAUGCAUGCAUCAUCCAGAAUCCACUUCAGAUCGAAUCAUACAACCUCUUUCGAAACAUCAAUCCAGCUGCAAUACCGUCAGUAGCAUUAGAUUCCAUAACUA
RNAcentral lists this long non-coding RNA (641 nucleotides) under Ananas comosus (pineapple). RNAcentral's name for it is "long non-coding RNA (ACOM_LNC041887)". The record is from RNAcentral. Lineage: Eukaryota; Viridiplantae; Streptophyta; Magnoliopsida; Poales; Bromeliaceae.